Molecule: long non-coding RNA, 1398 nt
Organism: Pseudoliparis swirei
Lineage: Eukaryota; Metazoa; Chordata; Actinopteri; Perciformes; Liparidae
Exons: 3
Source: RefSeq, a predicted model, not a curated record
GUGCAUUGCGCUUCGGUCCGGGUGGCACCGGUUGUAAAGGAACCGGUGCCACAUUGGCAACGGAUUUCGGUACCCAACCCUAGUUCUGGCUAUUCUCAGGCUGGAGGGGCCAUACAGGUUCCACACCCGGCAGACGACUCUUGGGGGGACCCUGCUUCCCUAAUCUGUGUGGGCUAUGAAGUCAGUCCGAGCGAGGGCUGCUGGCAGAGAAGAGGCAGGGAGUGGUCGGUGAGAGAAAUGCAGGUCCGACAGCUGACAACAGAUGGUUCUGAAUACUGGAUGGAGUGGCAGUGCUGCUGCGUAAUGGAGGACGAGGUUAGAUCAGGAGUCCUUUUGACUUCACGUCUUAUAGGGUCCAUUGGACCUGGCUGGGUCUGAUACCAUGGCCCUGCUGAUAUGCCCCGCCCACUCCUCCUCUCUCCCUCCAUCUGCCUGAUGGAUCAUGGAGGUCUGGAUUGUGGUCCAUGCCUAGUACCAACUAUUCAUACACUCUAGCAUACUCAUUGAAUGUGUUGUAACUCUGUAAUGAUUCCUUCUGUACACAUGACAUCUAAUGCUUCUGUCCAUCCGGGGAGAGGGAUCCUCCUUGUUGCUCUCCUGAAGGUUUCUUCCCUUUUUUCCCCUGUGAAAGUUGUUUUUCUAUUUCUUGGGAGUUUUUCCUGAUCCGAUGUGAGGUCCUGGGACAGCGAUGUUGUAUGUGUACAGAUCGUAAAGCCCUCUCAGGCAAAUUUGUAAUUUGUGAUGUUGGGCUGUAUCAAAUAAACUGAAUUGAAUUGAAUGCAAAUAAAGCGGAUAUCCGCCGAGCAGCACAAACAACACGGCGUGAAAAAUGUGCAACAACUACGCCCAACGCUGUGUUGCGAAAGCCAAAUUAGUGUUGAGAUGAUGUUUGAAAUUGAAUAUCAAAUCCAGGUUUAAUAAGAAGCAUGAGUUAAACAACUGUAUUAGGUUGCAGAAUGUAACCGGUCUAAUUGGGAAGACAACUGCUGUGAUGGGAGCUCGACACGGCACAGGUAUUCAUGUGCAAUGAACAUAGGAGAUUUCCUUUCUCUGGCUUCUGGUAUAAGCAUGGUUAUGAGGCAUGGUGAGCACAAUAUACAUGACCGUUCAAAAGUUUGGGGUCAUCCAGACAAUUUCGUGUCUUCCAUGAAAACUCACUUUUAUUUAUCAAAUGAAUUGAAAAUUGAAUAGAAAAUAUAGUCAAGACAUUGACAAGGUUAGAAAUAAUGAUUAAUAUUUGAAGUAUUAAUUUUGUUCUUCAAACUUCAAGCUCAAAGGAAGGCCAGUUGUAUAGCUUAUAUCACCAGCAUAACUGUUUUCAGCUGUGCUAACAUAAUUGCACAAGGGUUUUCUAAUCAGAUAUUAGUCUUCUAAGGCGAUUAGCAAACACAAUGUACC